ACAAUUUUAUUCAGUAAGUAUUAAAAGUCAAAGCGACAGAAAGGAUUGUAUGGCUGAACUGCCUGUUUUUCCUUCUUUGCGGUACACAAGGUAUUGGUGUGGCCUUCCCACCGAUGGUGCCUCCCAAGAGAUGAAAUACAGUGUGUCUGCAAGCAAGAGAGCAUCCCAGAUGCUUCCCAGUGCUGAACUAUGGAACUAAGCUGACUUACUGGGAGGACGCGACUGGCUGCUUUACUGUCUGUCGAGGCAGAGCAGAAUCACGCUUCCUUGGGGAAGCUCGUUCCCAAGAAAAGGGAAGUGGAAGAACACCCCAGAUUACACAAGUCCAAUGUCUCUUCCAAAGCCGCGAGUCAGAUGCCAUCACUUGCUACCUGAGACGGGGUGGAGAGGGUCCAGAAGUGUUAUCUACGUGGAGUUGUCUCCACAGGGAUGGAAAUACCAGAAGUGGGAAGACGAGUCUCCCGGUAGCUAUCUCACAGGUUUGGUGCGAAAGUGAAAUAAAUUUGCCAUCGCAGGCUCAUAUCCUGGCUCAUCUGUGUCCCUGUGAUCAGUGUCCCCAUGCUUCUUGCAAAUCGGUUGUCUGUGCUCGCUGUUUAGAUCAUCUACUUUUGCCAUCAGCGGAAGGCUCCCCAAACACAUGCCUGAGCCCUUCAGAAUUAUGUUCAGAGGGGGCACGGAACAAAGAAAAGGUUGACCCCAUCCUCACUUGCUGGAGGCAGGAGAUGUGAUUCAAUGUGUCAGAGAACUUCCUAAACGACAAGACAGCAAUUUUUUAAAGUUAACUUAAAAAAGAAAAGAAAAGAAAGAAAGCUCAUGUCCUUGGCUGAUGAGCGUGGAGAAGACCUUGGGAUGGUUUUCAGAGAGACGGAAGCCUUAGCACAGGCCUGCUGCUGCACGCAAAUAUUUGCUUAAAUUUGAUUCAACAAAUAUUUAUUGAGCAUCUGUCAUAUGCCAAGUGCCAGGGAUACUGGAAUGAAAAAAAGAUGAGCAAAAUUUCUACCCUCCUUGAGAUGAUUCCUGGUGGGGAACCCAAUGAACAAACCCAUAGAUACGUAAUCAGAAGCUUUCACACAAUGGAAUGAGAAAUCGAUGCUAACCAUCAACAAUAAGCCAAGCCAAGAACAUUCCAAACAGAAGAAAGAAGAUGUGUCCCUGUCAUGCACUCGAAUGAAGAAUUGGUUCUGACCAGGGAUGAAGGAAGGAUGGCUGCAGAGAGAAAGCGACGCUGAGCUGGUAACCGGGGUUUUAUAAGAUGGGGGAGGGGAGUGCAUUUCAGGCUGAGGGACUAGCUCGGGCAGGCAUAAAGGUAACACAGGGUUUGCUGUGGCAGGAACUGUGAGGUGUGGUCAGUGUUUGGAGGGAGACUGGCUCAAAUGUUGUUUGCAGUCAAGUCAUAGAGGGUUUGGGAUUCCGUGCCUACCAUGCCGGGGAGUUUUGACUUUACUCUGCAGACAACAAGGAUACUCAUUCACACAGGAGCGAGAACGUUUCAACAGACCCUCAAAUAUCAAAGCAAUAGCAGGACAUCUGGGGUAAGGUUGGGGAGAAUUCUUAUACAUAAAAAGAACAACGAUGGAGUUCAUUUUUUUUAUUUGUUUGUUUGUUUUUGUUUGUUAGGGCCCUACUCUUGGCAUAUGGAGGUUCCCAGGCUAGGGGUCUAAUUGGAGCUGUAGCCACCGGCCUACACCAGAGCCACAGCAACAUGGGAUUCGAGCCACGGCUGCAACCUACAACACAGCUCAUGGCAACACUGGAUCCUUAACCCACCGAGCGAGGCCAGGGAUCAAACCCAAGUCCUCAUGGAGGCUGGUUGGGUUUAUUACCACUGAGCCAUGAGAGGAACUCCCCCAACAGCAUUUUUAUAAAUCAUAAUCAUAAUUUUUAAUGUUCCAAUAAGUCUUACUUUUAGUCCAUUAAUUUGGGGAUGUUAGGCUGUGUUUAGUCCUGUGACCCCAAAGCCCUCUCACAGAUAUUUCUAUAUCCAAGACAGAAGAGUAAACCCUUAGCCCGGCCUUUGGACUUUGGAGUAAAUAUGGUGGAUUGAUGACACAUUUUAUCUUUUCUCCUUACGGAAACUUCCUGAAAUAAUCACACAGAAUCAAAAGAACAAAGUGAUUGAGGAAAGUGACAGGAAUAGACAGAAUUUAAGUUCUAGUUUUGUUCACUUUUAUUUCCCUAGAAUCUGGCACACAGUAGGCAAACAAAUUUUGAAUUCAUGAAAAGGUGAAAAAAAAGAAUUCAACUCUUUUGCAAGAUGAAGAGCUGAUAAGUGGACAAGACACAGCGAGGACUUGGCUAUAGGCUUUGAACCUGCAGAGGGAAAGAGUGACACCAGCGAUACAUGCUCUUGCUUUAUGCUCUCGGGCUGGAGCCUGUAAUCCUGUUGGAGUCGUUAAUCUGGUUGCAGUUCGCUCUUAUCCAAUUCUGUAUGCUUCUUAGAUCCGGAAACAGGCGUGCUCAGGCCUUGUGGGUCCAUCUGCUCUGCCCGGUUAGGUGUCGUCCCGCCACCCGAGAAGAAUCCAUUGGAUCCGGUAAAGGCUUCGCGUUCCUUCUCAGCCACAAAGACAGCGCCGCAUUUCAAACUGCCCAGAGCCCCGGAGUCUACCCCGUGGGCUCUGCUGACCAGCCUCAGGGGGCCACGCUCUGCGUCAGCUUCUGCGUCACUCAGGACACCAUUGCCCCUUGAGUCCUCAUUACUGUCCUCCAAAAUGUUAAAAAUAUGAUUCUCCUAUGAGGGUUAACAUAGUAAAAUCCAGAGUUUCCAUGUGCCUCGGGGGGUUAAGGAUCCGACGUCACGGCAGUGGCUCAGGUUGGUGCUGAGGCACAGGUUCAAUCCUUGCUGUGAGGACUUGCAGACAAAAAAAAAAAAAGAAAAAAAAUGUAAAAUCCAUACAUAAUGCAUUCGAUUAUCUAUUUAUGGAAGACAGACAGGGGAAAGCUCUUCUGUAAAUGGGGAGCUGCAUGAUGUGGGAAUAAUAACAGGAGGGGGGCAUUGAUGGGCUGGCCUGGAGUGUAAUUGACUCAGGACAGGAAAGCCUGAUGAAAAGGAUCAUUCCUUUCCAAAGAGACGCUACCAGAGCAGAGUGCUAAAGAGCAGGAUGCCAGGAAUCAGAGCUGGAUUCAAAUCCCUGCCAGUCGUGGGUGACUUUUGUGCAACCACUUAAUCUUUAUGGGAAUCAGUUUUUACAUCCAUUAAAAGAAGGUAAUUGAUGUGUCUCCAGGGUUGUGUUCUGAUUAAUGAGGUGUUACCUGUAAAGUGUUUAGCACCGCGCUGUGGUACAUUUAACAGGUGGGCUUGCGUGAAGCUGAAAAGAGGAGGACACCAAAGGACAACAUCUGUCAUUGUUCCUCUGGCACAUUCAGAGGUCACAGAUGCUGAGGGGAAGGAAAUGAGUGCUCAGGUCCCUGGAGACCCGAACCCACGGGGACAGGUAGAGCUCCUCGGGAGUUCCCUGGCCUCUCGAAGCUGUCUCCUUCAUGGCUCUUCACUUCCACUCUAUACGCAUCAAAACAGCACGCUUAGUUUUCAGAUUUUCUGGUGCCCGGGAGGGGGAGCUCCAAAUACCGGAUUCCAGUAUUCUGGUUAUUUAACAGAGAGUAUUUCCAUUCUAAAUGUAUGAAUUGCAAUUUUUUUUUUUUGGUCUUUUUUAGGGCUGCACCUGCAGCAUAUGGUAG
Sus scrofa (pig) is the source of this 3675-nucleotide non-coding RNA. The record is from RefSeq and is a predicted model, not a curated record. NCBI's taxonomy places the organism in Eukaryota, Metazoa, Chordata, Mammalia, Artiodactyla, Suidae.